UGUCUCAACACAAUGGCCACGGAGCCGUC
RNAcentral lists this small RNA (29 nucleotides) under Bombyx mori (domestic silkworm). RNAcentral describes it as "ovarian small RNA-9055". Lineage: Eukaryota; Metazoa; Arthropoda; Insecta; Lepidoptera; Bombycidae. The record is from RNAcentral.